UGGGGAAUAUUGCGCAAUGGGCGGAAGCCUGACGCAGCGACGCCGCGUGGGGGAUGACGGCCUUCGGGUUGUAAACCUCUUUCAGCAGGGACGAAGCGAAAGUGACGGUACCUGCAGAAGAAGCUCCGGCUAACUACGUGCCAGCAGCCGCGGUAAGACGUAGGGGGCGAGCGUUGUCCGGAUUUAUUGGGCGUAAAGAGCUCGUAGGUGGCUGGUCACGUCGGUUGUGAAAACCUGCAGCUUAACUGUGGGCGUGCAGCCGAUACGGGCGAGCUAGAGGCAGGUAGGGGAGAGUGGAACUCCUGGUGUAGCGGUGAAAUGCGCAGAUAUCAGGAAGAACACCGGUGGCGAAGGCGGCUCUCUGGACCUGUUCUGACGCUGAGGAGCGAAAGCGUGGGGAGCGAAC
This 406-nucleotide ribosomal RNA is filed under the name uncultured bacterium. RNAcentral's name for it is "bacterial SSU rRNA". It matches the Rfam family "Bacterial small subunit ribosomal RNA", at positions 355 to 773 of the family's 1533-position model. The record is from RNAcentral.